Long non-coding RNA from Vespa crabro (European hornet), 910 nucleotides. RefSeq lists it as uncharacterized. NCBI's taxonomy places the organism in Eukaryota, Metazoa, Arthropoda, Insecta, Hymenoptera, Vespidae. The transcript has 2 exons. The record is from RefSeq and is a predicted model, not a curated record.
GAUCGAAAGAUUUUGAACGAUUUAUAAGAAAAAUUAUUAUCUUAUAUUUAUCUCAAGUAUCAAGAUAAUAGAAGUGAUUCUUUUUUUUGUAAUGUCUUUUGUUCUGAUUCGUUAUCGACUCGUAACUCUUAGAAAUUCGUUUGAUAGGAUUUUUAUAACUUUAUCCAUCGCUUGUAAUAUAUUUCUUAUACUGAUGUAAUUACAUCGUUGCAGUUCAUGAUUUUUAUAAAUGUGUGAACGUGUGUAUACGUUUUUAUAUUACGAAAUUUUAUGCGGUCUUUUUUUUUAUAUAAUAUGAUAUAUGAUAAUGUGAUUCUACAUAUUUUAUUAAUGCUUUAUAUUUUUAAUAAAUAAUUGGAUAUAUUAAUUUUUAUAUUUAAAAUAAAAUAUUGGAAUCGAUGAGAGAAGUAAAUGUUUAGUGAUAAAACAAUAAAUAAUAAUGUAAAGAGUUCUAUCUGCGUGGAUAUGUGUAAGAUAAUAAUUUUUAUUAAUUUAUUGCUAAUUAUUAAAUAAAUCUUUAUUUAUUUAUUUUUCAUUUUUCAUGAAACAUUGUCGUCGUUCUUCUUGAUCUAAGUAAAUACAUAUUUAUUUAAAGAUGAUUGCUGCUGUGAUUAUGACAAGGCCUAUGAUAGAAAAUGAAACAUUUAUAGUGAUAAACUUUUACCGUAAGAGCUAUUUUGAAUAAAUCUUAUCCAGUCCCAAGAAAAGGUUGUGUCAGGUUUGCAUCAGGAUUGUGGCAAAGUGUAUUGUAAAUAAUUCUGGAACAACUUUGAUCAAUGCCUGAUGUAUAUUUGAUACUACACUAACAUCUGUUUAUAAAACUUGCUUAUGUGUAACUAUAAGGAAUUCAAAAGAUUGGAAGUGAAACACUGGAGAUCAAUUUAAAAAUAAAGAAGGUAAAAAAUGUAAA